This 250-nucleotide unclassified non-coding RNA is filed under the name plant metagenome. Its description in RNAcentral is "partial contains small subunit ribosomal RNA, internal transcribed spacer 1, and 5.8S ribosomal RNA". The record is from RNAcentral.
GUAGGUGAACCUGCGGAAGGAUCAUUAAUAAGUUUCCCACACCCCUCGUUGGGUAGGAUAGACUCCACGUAUUAGCAGUCUGGGUAGCUUCCAUCGUGGAGAGGCCGGCUGGAUUUCCCACAACGUUGUCGGUCUCAAGGGACUUGGCAGGCUUUAGUGCAGACGUUGUGGUUCUGAUUUACGGAGGCAAAUGGUAACAUUAGCCCUGGGAGGGACUUAAACCCGUGUCUACCUUCUUUGUUGCUUUGGC